CCAAUAGCGUAUAUUAAAGUUGUUGCAGUUAAAAAGCUCGUAGUUGAAUUUCGGGAUUAAUUUACUGGUCGUGCUAUUGUACGUACUGGUUUUAUUGAUUCCUCCCUUCUGACGAACUAUGAUGCCAUUAAUUUGGUGUCAUAGGGAAUCAGGACUGUUACUUUGAAAAAAUUAGAGUGUUUAAAGCAGGCUCACGCUUGAAUACAUUAGCAUGGAAUAACGGAAUAGGACGUUUGAUUCUAUUUUGUUGGUUUCUAGGAUCGACGUAAUGAUUAAUAGGGAUAGUUGGGGGCAUUAGUAUUCAAUUGUCAGAGGUGAAAUUCUUGGAUUUAUUGAAGACUAACUACUGCGAAAGCAUUUGCCAAGGAUGUUUUCAUUAAUCAAGAACGAAAGUUAGGGGAUCGAAGACGAUCAGAUACCGUCGUAGUCUUAACCAUAAACUAUGCCGACUAGGGAUCGGAUGAUGUUAAUUUUUUAAUGACUCAUUCGGCGCCUUACG
RNAcentral lists this ribosomal RNA (499 nucleotides) under uncultured Glomeromycotina. RNAcentral describes it as "partial small subunit ribosomal RNA". It matches the Rfam family "Eukaryotic small subunit ribosomal RNA", at positions 591 to 1092 of the family's 1831-position model. Lineage: Eukaryota; Fungi; Glomeromycota. The record is from RNAcentral.